Molecule: small RNA, 125 nt
Filed under: Marinobacter pelagius
Lineage: Bacteria; Pseudomonadati; Pseudomonadota; Gammaproteobacteria; Pseudomonadales; Marinobacteraceae
Description: PrrF RNA
Source: RNAcentral
UUGACAGAUGCAAACGAUAACAAUUAUCAUUACAUCACCAAAUGACAACGGUCGUAUCAUUUGGUCUCUCUCAUCAGGAGCUAAAAGCUCUUCUUGCGCCCCGCCCUUUGGCGGGGCUUUUUUUA